AUUCAUUGUGGUUUGUUUAGUCAGAAUGCUAGAAAGAAAUGAACAGCAGUCUACAUCACAGUAAAUAGAGAGAAAUUGGUGCUAUCGAUGGAAGGGUGAGAACCAGGUCUCAAGUUUAAAGUAGAGAUAACAAGGUAUAGAGCUGGAUGAACACAGCAGGCCAAGCAGCAUCAUAGGAGCAGGAAGGCUGACGUUUCGGGCCUAGACGCUUCAUCAGAAAAAGGAAUAAAAAGUCUCCCAGCAGAUUCAUAUAGCAGGUGAACAGUGAUGUGUUGGCUUCAGAACGACCAUUUUGAAAGAUCUAGAGACAACACAGUGUGGAGUGGGAGGAACACAGCAGGCAUGGCAGCUUGACGUUUCAGGAUGUCAAGGGUAAUGGUGUUGUCAGAACAAUAUCCUGCAGAUAGCAAAGCGAAAAUUAAAGUGGAAGUGUGCUGGAGCACCUAUUCUAUUACUCAACAACAUUAUGAAUCUAUGAGAAAGGAAAUGCCUGAACAGAACUUGGCUCCACAAAUUACAGUGCUUUAAUGGAAAAUGAAAAAUCCAGAGAAACAAAUAAAAACAUCUGGCACAUUGAAAAUCGUUUAAACCUAAUGGACUGACAUGCAUCAGAGACCCUCUAUUUUUGUUUCACUAUGUUCUUUAGCUCCCUCAUCAUACAAUUAUUGCUGGCUUUGGUUCCAUUACCUUUCACCUAUGGUUGGAAUGUCCUGAGCUGUACCUGAAGCAUCUCCUCCAUAAAGAAUGGUUUUGUUACAGUUUCUGCUGUCAGUGUUUGGUUUUACUUUACCCUGGAUAGAUCCCUUCACAUUCCAAAAU
Molecule: long non-coding RNA, 819 nt
Organism: Rhincodon typus (whale shark)
Lineage: Eukaryota; Metazoa; Chordata; Chondrichthyes; Orectolobiformes; Rhincodontidae
Exons: 4
Source: RefSeq, a predicted model, not a curated record